GACAGAGGGUGCAAACGUUGUUCGGAAUUACUGGGCGUAAAGCGCGUGUAGGCUGCUCGGAAAGUCGGAUGUGAAAGCCCUGGGCUCAACCUAGGAAGUGCAUUCGAAACUCCCGAGCUGGAGUCCUGGAGAGGAAGGCGGAAUUCUCGGUGUAGAGGUGAAAUUCGUAGAUAUCGAGAGGAACACCGGUGGCGAAGGCGGCCUUCUGGACAGUGACUGACGCUGAGACGCGAAAGCGUGGGGAGCGAACAGG
RNAcentral lists this ribosomal RNA (253 nucleotides) under uncultured bacterium. RNAcentral's name for it is "partial 16S ribosomal RNA". It matches the Rfam family "Bacterial small subunit ribosomal RNA", at positions 524 to 776 of the family's 1533-position model. The record is from RNAcentral.